Molecule: long non-coding RNA, 580 nt
Filed under: Trifolium pratense (red clover)
Lineage: Eukaryota; Viridiplantae; Streptophyta; Magnoliopsida; Fabales; Fabaceae
Description: long non-coding RNA (TPRA_LNC003484)
Source: RNAcentral
GCUACUUGUGCAUAAGAAAAUAUAUUGUGAGCUUUUAGACAAAUUGAACCUUGCACUAUUGAGGAAUAUAUUGUGCAAGUUUUGGAAUUGAACCUUUAGACAAAUAUAUUGCGAGGUUUUAGACAAAUUGAACCUUGCACUAUUGAGGAAUAUAAGUGCAAGUUUUGGAAUUUCAAAAAGAAAAUACUUACAGCACAUUGUGGUAGGUUUAAGAAACUUUAUGAGAUUUAAGAAAUUUAUUUAUAGCUUAGCACACUAAGAUUUAAGAAAAUCACGGUCAUGACGUCUGACUUAGCAAUUUCAACAUUUCUGUCGGUUAAACUAGGAUUUGUGGACCACAAGCACUCGAUUUUAAACAUAAAGAAAAUCACUUGCAAGAUGAUAAUAAAGUUAGCCAAACUCAUUAUCAUUCUCUUCAUUCUACAGACUCUCUAAGUUGUAAGAUAUAUGAGGAUCAUCCUUUGGAUUGUGUUAGUUAUAUAUAACUUCUUAUUACAAAAUCAAACACCUUUCCUUUUAUAUAUCCUCAGGUUCAUCUAAACUUAAGAGAUAUAGUGUAAGCCUAAUAUAAUACAUUGUU